This 1278-nucleotide ribosomal RNA is filed under the name human gut metagenome. RNAcentral's name for it is "bacterial LSU rRNA". It matches the Rfam family "Bacterial large subunit ribosomal RNA", at positions 887 to 2003 of the family's 2925-position model. The record is from RNAcentral.
UGGUCCCUGGUGGAGGUAGAGCUACUGGAUGGCCGAUGGGCCCUAUGGGUUACUGACGUCAGCCAAACUCCGAAUGCCAAUAGGGUGUAGCACGGCAGUGAGACUGCGGGGGAUAAGCUUCGUAGUCGAGAGGGAAACAGCCCAGAUCAUCAGCUAAGGCCCCUAAGCGUACGCUAAGUGGGAAAGGAUGUGGAGUCGCGGUGACAACCAGGAGGUUGGCUUAGAAGCAGCCAUCCUUGAAAGAGUGCGUAAUAGCUCACUGGUCAAGUGGUUCUGCGCCGACAAUGUAGCGGGGCUCAAGCGUACCGCCGAAGCUGUGGCAACAACGCGUUGUGCUGGCGCCAGGAACUGGAGUGCUGGUGUGUUGUUGGGUAGGGGAGCGUCCUGCACGAGGUGAAGCCUGGAGGGAACUUCUGGUGGAUUGUGUGGGAGUGAGAAUGCAGGCAUGAGUAACGAAUCUGCGGUGAGAAUCCGCAGCGCCGAUUGACUAAGGGUUCCAGGGCUAGGUUUAUCCGCCCUGGGUUAGUCGGGUCCUAAGGCGAGGCCGACAGGCGUAGUCGAAUGGAUGAACGGGUCGAUAUUCCCGUACCGGCUUUCGGACCGACCAACAGCCCGUGUGAACAAGGGCCAUCCGAUACGGUUGAUGGGGGCUUCGGCCUCCUGAUUCCGUUGCUGUUUGGCCUGGACGCGCAUGGGUUGAGCGUUUCAGGAGUGACGCGGACGGGUAGCCGGCCGGGGAGGUGGUUUUCCCUGGUCAAGCGUGUGGCCCCGCCCCCAGGCAAAUCCGGGGGCUUCAUGGGGUGAGGCGUGAUGAUGGGCGCUUUCAUGGCGUGAUAUCCGGUGAUCCCGUCGGCCGAGAAAAGCUUCGGCGCGAGGUCCGUUGCCGCCCGUACCCCAAACCGACACAGGUGGUCUGGUAGAGUAUACCGAAGCGAUCGAGCGAAUCCUGGUCAAGGAACUCGGCAAAUUGCUCCCGUGCCUUCGGCAUAAGGGAGACCCCCGGCCGUGCCGGCCCCUUGCGGGUCGUGGGCGGCUGGGGGUGGCACAGGCCAGGGGGUAGCGACUGUUUACCAAAAACACAGGUGCAUGCCAAGACGCAAGUCGCCGUAUAUGCACUGACGCCUGCCCGGUGCCGGAAGGUUAAGAGGAUCCAUCAGCGUCCCCUCGCGGGAUGCGAAGUGGUGAAUUCAAGCCCCGGUAAACGGCGGUGGUAACUAUAACCAUCCUAAGGUAGCGAAAUUCCUUGUCGGGUAAGUUCCGACCUGCACGAAUGGCGUA